GACAGCAUUUUAUUUCUGAUUUCUAAACAAAGAAUGGCUGCCACUGCUCUGAGCACGAAUGUAGCUACGGGCUUAGCAAGAGGCGCACGUUUACUGCCUCUACAACGCGCGUUACCAAAACCCAGUACAGCAUGGUUAUCCUCGAACACGGGUUUCAAUCCUCCGCAACCCGGAUGCAGAAAGAACAAAAAUGUAGCUGCUAGAAAGCUUGUAGUUAGAGCUGCUAGAACUGAGUCUAAUGGUGUCUCUCUAGGCUUUAGAGCUCCUAAUUUCCAGUUGCCAGAGCCUUUAACUGGGAAAAUAUGGGAACUUGAAGAUUUUGAGUCGCAUCCUGCUUUACUGGUUUUGUUUAUUUGCAAUCACUGUCCGUUUGUUAUACACUUGAAGAAGGUUCUAGUCAAGCUUUCAAAUUUUUAUAUGAAGAAAGGACUUGCAGUUGUUGCCAUUUCUUCAAAUUCUGUGGCUACUCACCCUCAGGAUGGACCACAGUUCAUGGCAGAAGAUGCCAAAUUAUUUAAGUACCCAUUUCCUUACCUAUAUGAUGAGUCACAAGAAGUUGCUCAAAAUUUUGGAGCAGUUUGCACGCCAGAGUUUUUCUUGUUUAAAAAGGAUGGUCGGAGGCCAUUUGAGCUGGUGUAUCAUGGCCAGUUUGAUGAUUCCCGACCCAGUAAUAAUGUUCCUGUCACAGGCAGGGACUUAAGUCUGGCAAUAGAUUGCGUUCUUAGUAGCCAGCCAGUCUCACCAGUUCAGAAACCAAGUAUUGGAUGCAGCAUAAAGUGGCAUCCUGAAGCAGGGCUGUAACCUUCUAAGUUUGGUCUCAAGAUCAUAAAUCUUCCAGUCUUGAUUUCUUUCUCAGCAUUGCUGUUACAUCUUUCAUUGUUGGUCGGUCCUCUGGCAAAGGGUUCACACAGAGGAGGGCCACUCCAAGCACCUGAAGCAUUUCUUGAAGUUGUGUGCCUGAUCGAAGCAGGAGCUGCUGGUCUAGAAUUGUCGUGAAUUCUUUUCUUCUUUCUCGAAGUUCCUUGUUAACCCAAGUGACAAUGUGUGCACCUUCAGGAAUCCGGUUAUCUGUUGGUUCUUUUCCUGUUAACACUUCUAGAAGAACUACACCAUAGCUGUACACAUCACUCCUCUCUGUGAUUCUGAAACUGUAUCCAUAUUCUGCAUUUCGGAAAAUAGUUAACGAUGUACACUAUAAAGAUUGGAAGCAGUUUACAUUCUGCAUUUUCGCAACUUUAAAAAAUUUACUACAGUAAUUUCUGAAGUAUGGAGAUGCAUAUACUCACCUGGAGCUAUGUAUCCAUAAGAACCGGCGAUUGUCUUGGAAACUUCCGAAGAUUCUGCAGUAUCAAUGAGCUUGGCGAGUCCAAAAUCUGCAAGAAAAGCUUCAAAUUGUGGCCCUACCAAUAUAUUAUUCGCCUUGAUGUCACGAUGCACAAUUGGAGGAGUACAAUCAUGAUGAAGAUAUUCCAGGCCAUGAGCUGCUCCUAGUAUGAUAUUAUAUCUUGCAUCCCAAUCCAAGAAUACCUUCUUUUCGUGAAGUAAUCCAGCCAAGCUCCCAUUGCUGAUAUAGUCAAACAGCAGCAGUUUGGUUUUUCCAUUGUUACAACAUCCCAGAAGCCUAACUAUAUUUUUAUGUCUGAUUGAUCCAAGCGUUGUAACUUCUGCUGUAAACCAGUCUCUGUCUGCUGCCUCUCCAUUCUUGACAGGCCAUAGCUUUUUUACUGCAACAACUUGUCUCAGUGGAGUCUCAACACGAUAAACCAUUCCCGAACAACCUUUACCAAUGAUGUUUGAAUCUGAGAGCCUUGGUUGACGAAUUUUGAUGAAUAUAAGUACACCCACAAGCACAACCAAUAAUGUGACAGUUAAACUGAGAAGAGUACACAGGACAAGGUUUCGAGUGUUCUUGCCAUGAUGAUUUCCACUUAAAUUGCACUUGUUUCUGUUUACGCAUAGCUCAGAAUUACUAGAAUAUGCAGUUUCUGGAAGAUCAUGGAAGAACUUGGUAUCAGGAAGCAGACCUGAGAAUUUGUUGUUGGAGACAUCUAACGAAACAAGAUUGUCAAGACUACCCAAUACUGUAAGUGCUCCUGUGAGUUCGUUAUGAGAGAGGUCGAGGUUGGCAAGUUUGGAGAGGUUUGAAAAGCUUUCUGGAAUUGAAGUUGUUAGAGAAUUCCUACUCAAAUUCAAAAGGAUAUCUAAUCCUUGCAACUGACCAAUCUCAUUCGGGAUUGGACCCGUGAGUCUGUUGCUGCUAAUAUCCAACAGCUGCAGAUCCCUACAUAAACCAAGUGACUUGGGAAUCAAACCAGUAAUAUGGUUUUCACUGAUUACUAAUUUAUUGAUUGAUGUUAGCUUUCCUAAAUUCUCAGGGAUGAUGCCUGUUAUACUGUUGUUUGAAAGGUCUAACACAUUUAAAUUAAGAAGAGAAUCGAGAGUUGUGGGGAUGACGCCUUGGAGCCUAUUUCCAUGCAAAUCAACCAUUUCUAGUUGAGUGCAGUUGCCGAUUUCUCGAGGGAUUUCUCCAGUAAAUUGAUUAUCUGACAAUUCAAGGAAGCUCAAGUUUUGCAGGAACCCUAUUUCUGAUGGAAUUUGACCACUAAAGUUGUUUGAUCCUAGUCGCAAACGGACCAAACCAAUGCAAUUGCCAAUAUCAGAUGGAAGUUCACCUGAAUGUCCAUUUGAUAACAACAGCAACUGGGUUAAGUUCUUGAGAUGAAAGAGAGAAUGUGGAACUGACCCUGUGAGGAAGUUGUGAGAAAGAUCUAAUGCUUGAAGUUUCUUGCAGUUGGCUAGCUCAGCAGGUAUGCUUCCAUGGAGCUGGUUCUGCCAGGCAAAGAAAAGUGAAAGCUCCGUUAGUUGCCCAAUGGUGGCUGGAAUCUCACCGGAGAAGUUGUUAUUAUCCAGCUCAAGCUGCUUUAGACCAGAAAAGUUUCCAACAAAAGGUGGAAUUUCUCCUGAAAGGUAAUUAUCAGACAAAAGAAGCUCCUCCAAUGCUACUAAAUUGGCUAGGGACACAGGAACCACACCGGUUAGAGAAUUCAUGGAGAGAUCAAUAACUUCCAAAUCUGUACAUUUUCCUAGGACUUCAGGCAUGUGCCCAGUGAGGUUAUUCUGCCAUAGCAACAGCCUCUUGAGAUUUGUCAAUGAAGCCAAUUCUUCAGGAAUGUUGCCUGAAAGUCGGUUUUCAUACAGAAAAAGAUCUUCUAAGGCUGAGCAAUUACCAAUUUCUGCCGGGAUAUUACCACUGAGAUUAGCUGUAUAAACUGAAAGCGUCUUGAGAUACUUCAGUUCUCCUAUACUACUCGGAAUCUGCCCUGAAAUCCCAGUGUCUGCAAGACCCAAAUACAGCAGUCCUUUACAGUUUGAUACCUGCAUUGGGAUUUCACCAUGAAGUCCUUGGUUUCCACCGGCACGAAAGAUCUCCAGAGCAAUCAACUGGCCUAUUUCUGCCGGAAUAUUUCCAGAGAGCUCGUUAUCAAAUAGUUCAAGCUGUCUAAGCUCCGAACAGUUUCCUAUUUCUCUAGGAAGCUCACCAUGUAGCAUAUUCGUAUUCAACGAAAGCGACUGCAAUUGAAACAGCCUUCCGAUCUCUGCUGGGAUAUUUCCUGUUAAAGCAUUGAAACUAAGGUCCAAGUUGAUCAGCGACGAAAGAUUCGCAAUAGAAGCUGGAAUUUCGCCUGUCAGAUUUCCAUUGGAAAGAAUAAGAGUAGUAAGAUGGUUAAGGGAAUAGAACUGAGUGGGGAAGGUGGUAGGAAUACUAAUAUUGUCGAUUCUUACUUGCGAAACAAAACCAUUUGUUGAACAUUUCACAAACUUCCAGUUGCAGGGAUUUUGGUGGCUCGGAUCCCAUGAAGCGAAAACGUUAGCUGACAGAGAAGAAUUGAAAGUUGAAAGCCAUGAAAGUAAAGAAUGACCUUCUUGGUUUAAAGCAGAAAUGGCUGGAAAAAGAGAGAUGUUAAGCAACAAGAGAAAAAUAGUGAUUGCAUUGCUUGACAUCAUGACAUGAGGUUGGUACUCUCUUUCUACUGCUCAUUUAAUUAUAGCAAAUCUCAGUUUCAUAAACUUUUCUUUUUAUGAAACUGUGGUACUGAAAUACCCUUGCUUUCAUCCAUAUUUACUUUCAUAAUUGAUGAAAUGCUUCACCUUUACAUAAAUAGCACCAAUACUUUUUGUUUAAAGAAUGUUAGGAUAGAUUGGGCAAGUCUUGCUUUGUAUGUUUACUGUGGCAACAAAUGUGAAAAUGUGGUCUUUCAUUUUUUAUUUUUAAUGUUUUUCAGUCAAUACUCAUAAUUAUAAGUGGUAAUUGCAAAAAACACCCUUAUAUUUCACCUUUAUAGCGAUUUAAGUACGCCUUCUAAUGCAUAGCACAUAAAAUCAAACCUUAUUUCUUGACAUUUUUGUCACCAAACGACGCUUUUUUUGACGGUUUUUAAUGAAUGAAAACUCCGGAUAAUGCUUUGGGGCUAAAGUAUCUAGAAAUUAAAGGUUGAGCAUCUUGGUACCAUGUUUUAAAAGAUGUGUUUAAAUUGCUAUAAAGGUGAAAAGUACGACCUUUUUUUGCAUAAAUAUAAUUAUAAUGGAUGAGAAGAAAAAUAUUUAGUUGGAAAUAAAAAAUUGAGGCCAUGUGAAUUUGGGGGUGUGGUGAGGGAUGAGGAUAAGAUGCUAAAUGAAAAUAUGGAAGAAAGAGGACAAACAGAAGAGUCCGGUUUGCAAAAAUGAUGUUAUUGCAUUAUGCAAUUGUAUUUGGAAGUUUUUGCUGGAAAGCAAUAGCUCACAAAGUAUCUUGUCAUUAAUUGAAAAACACACUUCUAUGUGUAGCUUAAGGUAAAUUAUUUAAUUUAUAACACAUCAAACUAUGUAUUUUCUUUAUUAGUAAUAUUUUGAACUUGCUCC
This is an RNA transcript of Mercurialis annua (annual mercury), 4899 nucleotides long. RefSeq lists it as uncharacterized. Lineage: Eukaryota; Viridiplantae; Streptophyta; Magnoliopsida; Malpighiales; Euphorbiaceae. The transcript has 11 exons. The record is from RefSeq and is a predicted model, not a curated record.